AUUGAACGCUGGCGGCAUGCUUUACACAUGCAAGUCGAACGGUAACAGCACUUCGGUGGCUGACGAGUGGCGAACGGGUGAGUAAUACAUCGGAACGUGCCUAGUAGUGGGGGAUAACUACUCGAAAGAGUAGCUAAUACCGCAUGAGAUCUAAGGAUGAAAGCAGGGGACCUUCGGGCCUUGCGCUACUAGAGCGGCUGAUGGCAGAUUAGGUAGUUGGUGGGAUAAAAGCUUACCAAGCCGACGAUCUGUAGCUGGUCUGAGAGGACGACCAGCCACACUGGGACUGAGACACGGCCCAGACUCCUACGGGAGGCAGCAGUGGGGAAUUUUGGACAAUGGGCGCAAGCCUGAUCCAGCAAUGCCGCGUGCAGGAUGAAGGCCUUCGGGCUGUAAACUGCUUUUGUACGGAACGAAAAGCCCUCUUCUAAUACAGGAGGGUCAUGACGGUACCGUAAGAAUAAGCACCGGCUAACUACGUG
This 482-nucleotide ribosomal RNA is filed under the name uncultured bacterium. RNAcentral's name for it is "partial 16S ribosomal RNA". It matches the Rfam family "Bacterial small subunit ribosomal RNA", at positions 30 to 507 of the family's 1533-position model. The record is from RNAcentral.